UUUUUUUAUUAAAAUUCAUUAUUUGGACAACUUUUUUUUUAUAUCAUUAGAGAUGAAAGGAUAAGAUACUGAGAGAUAUAAAGUAUUAAUUAUUGUUUAAUGCUCUUCACCAUGCAGGUAGAAAGGAUACCGCCAAUCUUACAGAUGCGGAGGAGAGGAGAGUACCCUCGUUACUACUGUGAUGGCAUACCUGGACUUUGCCCUGAGUGCCAACAUUGAAUUCAAAGAAAAUAUAAGUCGCUUUCCACAAUCUGUCACAUAUUGUUAGUUUUUUUUGUGACAUGCCAUUUGAAAUCGUUUCUGAUAAAGAAUAUUUACCUUUUGA
This is a long non-coding RNA of Cyprinodon tularosa, 325 nucleotides long. RefSeq lists it as uncharacterized. Lineage: Eukaryota; Metazoa; Chordata; Actinopteri; Cyprinodontiformes; Cyprinodontidae. The record is from RefSeq and is a predicted model, not a curated record. The transcript has 2 exons.